CCUACGGGUGGCAGCAGCAAGGAAUAUUGCGCAAUGGGCGAAAGCCUGACGCAGCGACGCCGCGUGGGGGAUGAAGGCCUUCGGGUUGUAAACCCCUUUUCUCAGGGAAGAAUAAUGACGGUACCUGAGGAAUAAGUCACGGCUAACUACGUGCCAGCAGCCGCGGUAAUACGUAGGUGGCAAGCGUUAUCCGGAUUUACUGGGCGUAAAGAGGGCGCAGGCGGCCUGGUAAGUCGGAUGUGAAAUCUCUCGGCUUAACUGGGAGGGGUCAUCCGAUACUGCCGGGCUUGAGGACAGUAGAGGGAGGUGGAAUUCCCGGUGUAGUGGUGAAAUGCGUAGAUAUCGGGAGGAACACCAGUGGCGAAGGCGGCCUCCUAGGCUGUACCUGACGCUGAGGCCCGAAAGCGUGGGGAGCGAACAGGAUUAGAUACCCUGUAGUC
This 440-nucleotide ribosomal RNA is filed under the name Salmonella enterica subsp. enterica serovar Anatum. RNAcentral describes it as "bacterial SSU rRNA". It matches the Rfam family "Bacterial small subunit ribosomal RNA", at positions 338 to 795 of the family's 1533-position model. Lineage: Bacteria; Pseudomonadati; Pseudomonadota; Gammaproteobacteria; Enterobacterales; Enterobacteriaceae. The record is from RNAcentral.